RNAcentral lists this ribosomal RNA (524 nucleotides) under uncultured Polaromonas sp. RNAcentral describes it as "bacterial SSU rRNA". It matches the Rfam family "Bacterial small subunit ribosomal RNA", at positions 115 to 633 of the family's 1533-position model. Lineage: Bacteria; Pseudomonadati; Pseudomonadota; Betaproteobacteria; Burkholderiales; Comamonadaceae. The record is from RNAcentral.
AUAUCGGAACGUGCCCAGUCGUGGGGGAUAACGUAGAGAAAUUUACGCUAAUACCGCAUACGAUCUAAGGAUGAAAGCGGGGGAUUCGCAAGAACCUCGCGCGAUUGGAGCGGCUGAUAUCAGAUUAGGUUGUUGGUGAGGUAAAAGCUCACCAAGCCGACGAUCUGUAGCUGGUUUGAGAGAACGACCAGCCACAUUGGGACUGAGACACGGCCCAGACUCCUACGGGAGGCAGCAGUGGGGAAUUUUGGACAAUGGGCGAAAGCCUGAUCCAGCAAUGCCGCGUGCAGGAAGAAGGCCUUCGGGUUGUAAACUGCUUUUGUACGGAACGAAAAAGCCUUUUCUAAUAAAGAGGGUUCAUGACGGUACCGUAAGAAUAAGCACCGGCUAACUACGUGCCAGCAGCCGCGGUAAUACGUAGGGUGCGAGCGUUAAUCGGAAUUACUGGGCGUAAAGCGUGCGCAGGCGGUCCUAUAAGACAGAUGUGAAAUCCCCGGGCUCAACCUGGGAAUGGCAUUUGUGAC